CCCUUAGAUGUUCUGGGCCGCACGCGUGCUACACUGACCGGCGCAACAAGUUUCUUUCCUUGGCUCGAUAGGCCUGGGUAAUCUUUGAACGCCGGUCGUGAUGGGGAUAGAUCCUUGCAAUUUUUGAUCUUCAACGAGGAAUUCCUAGUAAAUGCGAGUCAUCAUCUCGCGUUGAUUACGUCCCUGCCCUUUGUACACACCGCCCGUCGCACCUACCGAUUGAAUGGCCCGGUGAAGCCUCGGGAUUGCGAAUGCUUCGUGCGGACGCGAGAACUUGGCUAAACCUUACCAUUUAGAGGAAGGUGAAGUCGUAACA
This 316-nucleotide ribosomal RNA is filed under the name uncultured eukaryote. RNAcentral's name for it is "partial 18S ribosomal RNA". It matches the Rfam family "Eukaryotic small subunit ribosomal RNA", at positions 1470 to 1796 of the family's 1831-position model. The record is from RNAcentral.